GCCGGGCGUGGUGGCUCACGCCUGUAAUCCCAGCAUUUUGGGAGGCUGAGGCAGGUGGAUCACUUGAGGUCAGGAGUUCGAGACCAGCCUGGCCAACAUGGUAAAACCCUGUCUCUC
RNAcentral lists this non-coding RNA (117 nucleotides) under Homo sapiens (human). The record is from Rfam by way of RNAcentral. Lineage: Eukaryota; Metazoa; Chordata; Mammalia; Primates; Hominidae.